RNAcentral lists this ribosomal RNA (691 nucleotides) under Thalassobacillus sp. YIM 94206. Its description in RNAcentral is "bacterial SSU rRNA". It matches the Rfam family "Bacterial small subunit ribosomal RNA", at positions 56 to 725 of the family's 1533-position model. Lineage: Bacteria; Bacillati; Bacillota; Bacilli; Caryophanales; Bacillaceae. The record is from RNAcentral.
CGCGUGAAGCAGGUGGAUCCCUUCGGGGUGACACCUGUGGAUCGAGCGGCGGACGGGUGAGUAACACGUGGGCAACCUGCCUGUAAGACUGGGAUAACCCCGGGAAACCGGGGCUAAUACCGGGUAAUACCGGACUCCGCAUGGAGUCCGGUUGAAAGAUGGCUUCUUGCUAUCACUUACAGAUGGGCCCGCGGCGCAUUAGCUAGUUGGUGAGGUAACGGCUCACCAAGGCAACGAUGCGUAGCCGACCUGAGAGGGUGAUCGGCCACACUGGGACUGAGACACGGCCCAGACUCCUACGGGAGGCAGCAGUAGGGAAUCUUCCGCAAUGGACGAAAGUCUGACGGAGCAACGCCGCGUGAACGAUGAAGGUCUUCGGAUCGUAAAGUUCUGUUGUCAGGGAAGAACACGUACCGUUCGAACAGGACGGUACCUUGACGGUACCUGACGAGGAAGCCCCGGCUAACUACGUGCCAGCAGCCGCGGUAAUACGUAGGGGGCAAGCGUUGUCCGGAAUUAUUGGGCGUAAAGCGCGCGCAGGCGGUUCCUUAAGUCUGAUGUGAAAGCCCACGGCUCAACCGUGGAGGGUCAUUGGAAACUGGGGAACUUGAGUACAGAAGAGGAGAGUGGAAUUCCACGUGUAGCGGUGAAAUGCGUAGAUAUGUGGAGGAACACCAGUGGCGAAGGCGAC